This 206-nucleotide ribosomal RNA is filed under the name uncultured bacterium. RNAcentral's name for it is "partial 16S ribosomal RNA". It matches the Rfam family "Bacterial small subunit ribosomal RNA", at positions 568 to 774 of the family's 1533-position model. The record is from RNAcentral.
CAUGUAGGCGGAUUGAUAAGUUUGAAGUGAAAUCCUAUAGCUUAACUAUAGAACUGCUUUGAAAACUGUUAAUCUAGAAUGUGGGAGAGGUAGAUGGAAUUUCUGGUGUAGGGUAAAAUCCGUAGAGAUCAGAAGGAAUACCGAUUGCGAAGGCGAUCUACUGGAACAUUAUUGACGCUGAGAUGCGAAAGCGUGGGGAGUAAACA